UGUAUCGGAAGCCUGACGAGGAUGAGAACCUCCGGGGGCAAGAGGUUCGACUCGAGCGCAGCGAGAGAACGUUGCGUCAGCAACGGC
RNAcentral lists this small RNA (87 nucleotides) under Salmonella enterica. Its description in RNAcentral is "partial RtT sRNA". It matches the Rfam family "RtT RNA", at positions 1 to 83 of the family's 130-position model. From Rfam's summary of the family: This family represents a bacterial cis-regulatory element known as RtT RNA. The exact function of RtT is unknown although it is thought that it may be involved in changing the cellular response in relation to amino acid starvation. Lineage: Bacteria; Pseudomonadati; Pseudomonadota; Gammaproteobacteria; Enterobacterales; Enterobacteriaceae. RNAcentral also lists the same sequence under 2 other names. The record is from RNAcentral.